Molecule: non-coding RNA, 642 nt
Organism: Pelodiscus sinensis (Chinese soft-shelled turtle)
Lineage: Eukaryota; Metazoa; Chordata; Testudines; Trionychidae
Source: RefSeq, a predicted model, not a curated record
UCCAGAGCCCAUGGACAUCAGUGGCAAAACUCCCAUUGACUUCAGUGGAUUUUGGCCCCAAAGAGCUAGUACACUUGAUCUCGAGGAACACCUGUGGUACGCUCUGCACAUAGCCGCUCCCCUCCCUCCUAGCUGGGGGGAUGGCAGCACACAGAGACGUUUUCCCUUGAGGGUUAGCGGCAGGGUGGGCCUUGCCUAAGUGUGGCAGGGAGCACGGAUCCAAGUGUGUCCCCUGGAGUGGGGCAGCAGGCGCCGACAAUGGUCAUUUUCAAUUGCUGGUUCUCAUGCCCUUACGCAUUGCUGAAAUCACUGACUUCCAAACACGGCAGGGGGCUCCUCCUUUCUCUAGCUAUCCUGUUGUCAAAACAGCUCUGCUGAGGAGAUAAGAGAGCUAAGACCCUGAAGAGGCUCCUUCCUGCCCCCAGCUCGCUAUCUCUCUGAGAGGUUCGUCAGCAGCCUCUGGGAAGGGCAGCAGACAAAUGGAGACCAGGGCCUGGCAUCCUCUGUGAGCGUCCAGUCACGUCGAAAUGGAAUAUUUGGAAUGGCUCGUGAACCCCAGAUAAAAGCCAAGUGAUCAGUGUCUACAAGAUCCUCUGUUUUCUGUCAGCAGAUAUUUCCCACAAGGGUAGAUAUUCAUUCAUG